This is an RNA transcript of Cydia strobilella, 4558 nucleotides long. RefSeq lists it as uncharacterized. Lineage: Eukaryota; Metazoa; Arthropoda; Insecta; Lepidoptera; Tortricidae. The record is from RefSeq and is a predicted model, not a curated record. The transcript is spliced from 3 exons.
UUUGCCAAGGAGCACACUACAAUGCAUCCUGCACAGUAGUUAAGGAUAUCAAUGACAGGAAAAAGAAACUCGGCAAAAGAUGUUACAUUUGCUUCAAGGAAGGACAUAGAACAACAACAUGUCACAAUAGGAAGCCAUGUUACUUCUGCAAAGGAAAUCAUAAUCAAGCUUUAUGUCCACAAAAGCCAGACGGCAAUAGUGGAGGUGGGGCAGAAGAACUCAAACAGAACUAAGACAAGGAGGCUGAUGCUUGACAAUGGCAGUGGUCGCAGCUAUAUUACCAGGAAGCUUGCAAAAGAACUUGACUUAGUGGCAGAUCAGGAAGAUGAAUUAAUGGUAUUUGUCUUCGGUGCUGAUGACCCAGUUAACAUUUCCAGCCCAUCAGCUGACAUCCAAAUCAUAACAAGAAGAGGUAUCAGAAGAGAUAUUCGAGUGAACAUUGUGCGCCGUAUAGCAAAUUAUCUUGGUCCUCCUAUGAGUAUGGAUGGAAUUGAUGGAGUAGAUGUUGUAGCUGAUGAUGGGUCUGCUAGAGAAGAACCACAACUUUUGAUAGGUGGUGACUAUUGUUAUUCAUUUUACAGAAAGGAAAUGUUAUUGCUGAAGGAGCACUUAUAUUUAAUUAACACAGAUUUUGGCUGGAUGAUUGCCGGCAAGGUCCAACAAGAAGAGAAAAACAAUACACUAUCUGUCAUCAUGUACUGCCAAUGCCAAGGAUCAGUAAUACCCUAUUUUGUAACACCAGACUUACCUCUCCGGGAACCGGACAUCAGGUUUCUAUGGGCCUUAGAAAGUAUUGGGAUUGUAGACUCUCCUAAGAUAACUAGAGAGGAAGAGGCGAUCAAACACUUUAACGAAACGGUCAAAUAUGAAGAUAAGAGAUAUCAGGUGAAGUGGCCCUGGAUAACAUACCCACCUGACUUACCCACUAACUAUGGUCUUGCUUAUGGGAGACUGUCAAGCUUAAUUCGAAGAUUAGAACAAGAUGCCAUGGAAGAGUAUGAUAGCAUUCUGAGAGAACAACUAACUGCAGGGGUUAUAGAAGUUAUAGAUCCCUCAGAAAUUGUUUCUAAGACACAUCCUGUUCACUAUCUUGCCCAUCAUAUUAUUCUUCCGAAAGGAAAGAAGGGGCGUGUUGUGUAUGAUGGUUCGGCUAAACUUAAGAAUAGUAAGAGCCUCAAUGAAUGCAUGUACAGAGGACCUUCGAUGCUUGAAGACUUGACCGCUCUCCUUUUGAGAUUCAGAGUCAACAAGAUUGGAAUUACAGCAGAUGUAGAAAAGGCCUUUCUUCAGGUAGGACUACAACAGGAGGAUAGAGAUGUGACCAGGUUUUUAUGGCUUAAGGACCCCAAACAAGGAGUGACUGAGAAGAACCUUCUCCAUCUGCGCUUCUGUCGUGUCCCAUUUGGGGUAAUAUCCAGUCCAUUUUUGUUGACGGCUACGAUUCGACAUCAUUUGUCACAGGGUGACCAGAACCUUAUGUCAGAAAUAGCAGAAAGAACCUACGUGGACAACUUAGUCACAGGAACAGACACGUUAGAGGAAGCUCGUGAACUUGUAAACAAGACUAGGGCGACGUUCACAGAAUUGUCAAUGAAUAUAAGAGAAUGGACAUCCAACAACAAACUAUUGUUGAAGAGCAUUCCAAAACAGUUUCGAUCAAAAGACACUGAAUCGACAAAGGUAUUAGGACUUACCUGGCACAUGGGAAAGGAUACCCUGAAACUAAGGUUGGGUGAUGUGCUAUCUGAUACAAAGCAAGACAAGACAACUACAACAAAACGAGGGAUAUUGCGAACUCUUGCUUCAUUAUAUGAUCCUUGCGGAUUCGCGGCACCCUUAAUUUUGCCUGCAAAACUCCUUCUUCAAGAACUAUGGAGAAGGAAAGAAAAAUGGGAUUCUCAAUUGCCAGAGGACUUAAAGGAAGAAUGGCAGAAGGCAGUAAGUGCUUUACAGACUGCCGAUGAAAUAGAAAUACCCAGAUAUGUUGGCCUGUCACCAAAUGAAGACACAGAAUGUGAACUUCAUUGUUUCACUGACGCAUCUAAAAGAGCCUACUCAGCUGUAGUAUAUCUGAGGAUAGUGAAUAAGGAAGAUAAGAGCACUAAAGUCAGGCUCAUAAUGGCUAAAUCCCGGGUUACCCCGAUAAACCACACGGAAGACCUCAAAAUCCCAAAAUUGGAAUUACUUGGAUUCGUCAUAGGGAAGCGACUCUUAACUUAUGUAAAGAACACCCUUAGAAUAGACUUGAAGCGACUAUGCCUUUGGUCCGACAGUGAAAUAGUUUUAUACUGGAUGAAAUCGGAAAAGUUGUUGCCUCCAUUCGUUUGCAGAAGAAUAAACGAAAUUAAACAGAAUAAAGACAUAGAACCUAGAUAUGUCAAUACAGAAUUGAACCCUGCAGAUCUAGCAACACGACCGGAACUUUGGCAUACGAAGAAGGAAUUGUGGUUCAAUGGACCUCAAUUUCUUUCGCUGAGUGAGGAGGGCUGGCCAAAGUUGCAAGAACAUGGCCAGUCAGUUCUUUUUGCAGGAACCGAUUCAAUAAUAGAUACCAUGGAGACGGACAUGUCAUCUCAAGCAGAAGAAUCAGUCAGAGGAAGCAUAGAACAGGAAAAUACAGAAGGAAUGACGAUAGAUAUAGAGAAUAUAGAAGACAAUGGCCAGAUGCAAGUUUCGGCCACCGGAGUUGAUUUUAACUGCACAGAGAUAAAGAAUUUACAAAAAUUACACUUCCCACAAGAGGCAGCAGGCAAGAAAACGAGCCUAUCUAGGAAUUUAGGACUAUUUGUGGAUAUGGAUGGAUUAUUAAGAUGUAAAGGUCGGCUUAUGAACACAAUGUGUUCAUAUGACACCAAAUAUCCGAUAUUGAUACCUAAGAACUCGGAAUUUACAGACAGACUGAUUUUGGAGACUCAUCAGAGAUACUAUCAUGUGGGAACCCCACAUACACUGAGCAUUAUUCGCCAGAAAUACUGGAUUCCUCAAGGAAGAGCGAAGGUUCAGCGAAUCAUAAGAAAAUGCCAACAGUGUGUUAAACAUGGAGGUGGUCCUUACAAACUUCCCCCCACACCAGCACUGCCAGCAGAACGUGCUAAUUAUAGUGCUCCUUUCACAUACACUGGCAUCGACUAUUUUGGGCCAAUCCUUGUUACGGAGAACGGACAGAUGAGAAAAAGAUGGAUUUGUCUGUAUACUUGUCUGGCUGUACGCGCAAUUCACAUGGAAGUAGUUAAGGAUUUAACUGCGGAGGAAUGUUUACUUGCAAUGAGAAGAUUCAUAUCUACCAGAGGAAGACCAGAACUCAUCAUCUCAGACAAUGCAUUACAGUUUAAAUUAACUGCAGAAUUAUUGUCAAACACAUACUUCAUGGACAAUAAAAUAAGGUGGAAGUUUAUCCCUCAGCUCAGUCCAUGGCAUGGAGGUUUUUAUGAAAGGCUGGUCGGCAUCGUGAAGAAUUGCAUGAAGAGAACCUUAGAAAAGAGAAUUCUAAAUGACUCACAGCUGAGUACAGUUGUCAAAGAAAUCGAAGCUGUGGCUAAUUCACGUCCACUUACUUGUGUUGGUUCAGACAUAGAAUAUGUUUUAAGGCCGGCAGACUUUCUCACCUACGGGAAAUGUAUAGCGAUUGAGCCUUCUAUACAAAAUCCGUAUCCAGGUGGUUCCGUCACAAAAGAAAAUCUAAUAGAAGGAUGGAAGAAGGGUCAAAUUAUACUAGAAGAAUUUAAAAGAAUGUUUCUGGGACAGUACUUAUGCAGUCUACGUGAAAGGUACCAACAUUCACACAAGGAACCCCGAGUUAAAACUCAUCAAAGCCCUCAUAUUGGUGACAUAGUCCAGAUUAAGGGAGACUCGAAAAACAGAGAGAACUGGAAGGUAGGAAAAAUCAUCAGUUUGGAACGAGGCGCCGAUGGAGAAUGCAGAGUUGCAAAGGUCAAUGUUGAAGGAAAAGAAUUUAUAAGAUCAAUAGGUCACUUAUAUCCAUUAGAAGUGGAAGAGGCUAGACUGGAAGUUGCACGAACACAAGAAAGAAUUCAAGUAAAUCCAGAUGUACGGGAGACAGAGGAAUCUUCACUACAUGGAAUCACAGAGAUAUCUGACAUAGAAACCAGAUAUCCUGAAAGGGAAUCAAUAGAACAGGUGCCACCAGAAAUUGCAGUAGAGGAUGAUGUUAUAUUGGAGACCAAUGGUUUAGACAAAAUACUCACUCCCGAAGAACGGGUGCAUGAAAAUGGUAUUGGUGAGCAUAGUAAAGCGGUGACUGAAGGUGACGAAGACGUAGGGAGAGUAGAAACUGUGUCAAAUGUCAAUAACGAAAGAAGUAGAAGAGCAGCGGCUGUCCGGGCGAGAGAAAAGAUUGCCCAAUGGACGAGCCAGCUGAUAGCCCUGCUUUAAAAACUCACGGCCGUUGGGGAGUGUCGCGUCGAACGCGAACCUCAACAAAAUAGCAGUAGGAGGUAGAAGACUUUUUCCCAACGGAACAAUGUUCGCGUGGGCGGGAAGUAAGUUGUGAAGAAAGAAAGAAGACCUGCGGGUUUUAAAUGGUGAGUGUUAGAAAUAU